This 494-nucleotide ribosomal RNA is filed under the name uncultured bacterium. RNAcentral's name for it is "partial 16S ribosomal RNA". It matches the Rfam family "Bacterial small subunit ribosomal RNA", at positions 28 to 507 of the family's 1533-position model. The record is from RNAcentral.
GACGAACGCUGGCGGCAUGCCUAAUACAUGCAAGUCGAACGAUGAUACCACUACUUGCUGCGAUUGAUUAGUGGCGAACGGGUGAGUAACACGUGUGGAACUUGCCCAUGAGCGGCGGACAACAUUCGGAAACGGAUGCUAAUACCCCAUAGGUUGAGUGGUCGCAUUACGAACUCAUUAAAGUUGGCUCUGCUACCACUCAUUGAUAGGCUCGCGGCGUAUUUGCUAGUUGGUAUGGUAAUGGCUUACCACGGCAGUGAUACGUAGCCGACUGGAGAGGGGGAUCGGCAACACUGAAACUGAGACACGGCCCAGACCCCUAGGGGAGGCAGCAGUAGGAAUUCUGCCAAAAUGGGGGCAGACUUGACGAGGCAAUGCCGCGGGGGUGAAGAAGGUCUUCGGUUGGUAAAGCUCUUUUGUUGGAGAAGAAAACGUGCUAGGUAACUACUAGCGUCUUGACGGUACCUAACCAGAAAGUCACGGCUAACUACGUG